CGUAACACGUAUGUAACCUACCUUCGUCAGGGGGAUAGCCUCUCGAAAGAGAGAUUAAGCCCGCAUAAAAUCACAUUGCAGCAUUGCAAAAUGAUCAAAUAUUUAUAGGACGAAGAUGGGCAUGCGGAACAUUAGCUAGUUGGUAAGGUAACGGCUUACCAAGGCUACGAUGUUUAGGGGAUCUGAGAGGAUGACCCCCCACACUGGUACUGAGACACGGACCAG
This 225-nucleotide ribosomal RNA is filed under the name uncultured bacterium. Its description in RNAcentral is "partial 16S ribosomal RNA". It matches the Rfam family "Bacterial small subunit ribosomal RNA", at positions 109 to 334 of the family's 1533-position model. The record is from RNAcentral.